AGUUCACACCGGUAACUUCACAUAGGUUCAAGAAAUAAGAAUAUUUAAAAGACAAGAGUUUUAGUUAUCCUACUAUCUCUGGAUAUUUACCGUGUACCUCGAAUUAAUUGAUCUUGAGUACUUCAUAAAUAAGAUUUU
Leptinotarsa decemlineata (Colorado potato beetle) is the source of this 138-nucleotide long non-coding RNA. The record is from RefSeq and is a predicted model, not a curated record. Lineage: Eukaryota; Metazoa; Arthropoda; Insecta; Coleoptera; Chrysomelidae.